Molecule: ribosomal RNA, 460 nt
Filed under: uncultured bacterium
Lineage: Bacteria
Description: partial 16S ribosomal RNA
Rfam family: Bacterial small subunit ribosomal RNA
Source: RNAcentral
CCUACGGGAGGCAGCAGUGAGGAAUAUUGGUCAAUGGUCGGGAGACUGAACCAGCCAAGCCGCGUGAGGGUUGAAGGUACAGAGUAUCGUAAACCUCUUUUGUCAGGGAACAAAGGCGGGGACGCGUCCCCGGAUGAGUGUACCUGAAGAAAAAGCAUCGGCUAACUCCGUGCCAGCAGCCGCGGUAAUACGGAGGGUGCGAGCGUUAAUCGGAAUUACUGGGCGUAAAGCGCUCGUAGGCGGUAUGUCAAGUCAAGGGUGAAAUCCCCGCGCUCAACGUGGGAACUGCCUUUGAAACGGGCAAACUGGAGGGUGUGAGAGGAUAGUGGAAUUCCAGGUGUAGGAGUUAAAUCCGGAGAGAUCUGGAGGAAAAUCAGUGGCGAAGGCGACUAUUUGGCACAUAACUGACGCUGAGGAGCGAAAGCGUGGGGAGCAAACAGGAUUAGAUACCCUGGUAGUC